Molecule: ribosomal RNA, 465 nt
Filed under: Vreelandella stevensii
Lineage: Bacteria; Pseudomonadati; Pseudomonadota; Gammaproteobacteria; Oceanospirillales; Halomonadaceae
Description: partial 16S ribosomal RNA
Rfam family: Bacterial small subunit ribosomal RNA
Source: RNAcentral
CAUACGGGAGGCUGCAGUGGGGAAUAUUGGACAAUGGGGGGAACCCUGAUCCAGCCAUGCCGCGUGUGUGAAGAAGGCCCUCGGGUUGUAAAGCACUUUCAGUGAGGAAGAACGCCUGGUGGUUAAUACCCAUCAGGAAAGACAUCACUCACAGAAGAAGCACCGGCUAACUCCGUGCCAGCAGCCGCGGUAAUACGGAGGGUGCGAGCGUUAAUCGGAAUUACUGGGCGUAAAGCGCGCGUAGGUGGCUUGAUAAGCCGGUUGUGAAAGCCCCGGGCUCAACCUGGGAACGGCAUCCGGAACUGUCAAGCUAGAGUGCAGGAGAGGAAGGUAGAAUUCACGGUGUAGCGGUGAAAUGCGUAGAGAUCGGGAGGAAUACCAGUGGCGAAGGCGGCCUUCUGGACUGACACUGACACUGAGGUGCGAAAGCGUGGGUAGCAAACAGGAUUAGAUACCCCGGUAGUC